This 961-nucleotide ribosomal RNA is filed under the name Lotharella globosa. RNAcentral's name for it is "partial Bacterial large subunit ribosomal RNA". It matches the Rfam family "Bacterial large subunit ribosomal RNA", at positions 662 to 1721 of the family's 2925-position model. Lineage: Eukaryota; Cercozoa; Chlorarachniophyceae. The record is from RNAcentral.
GUAGGCGUAGCGAAAGCGAGUCUGAAUAGGGCGAUUGAGUUCGAUGCAUUAGACCCGAAACCCGGCGAUCUAGUUAUGAGCAGGUUGAAGGUGCAGUAACAUGCACUGGAGGACCGAACCCACAUAUGUUGAAAAAUAUCGGGAUGACUUGUGACUAGGGGUGAAAGGCCAAUCAAGCCGGGAGAUAGCUGGUUCUCCGCGAAAACUAUUUAGGUAGUGCCUCGGAUGAAUACCAACGGGGGUAGAGCACUGGAUGGAUGCGGGGGGCGCGAGCCUUACCAAUUCUAACCAAACUCCGAAUACCGUUGAGUAAUAUCCGGGAGACAGACUGCGGGUGCUAAGGUCCGUAGUCGAGAGGGAAACAGCCCUGACCACCAGCUAAGGUCCCUAAAUCUUGUCUAAGUGGGAAAGCAUGUGAGACGGCCAAAACAACCAGGAUGUUGGCUUAGAAGCAGCCAUCCUUUAAAGAAAGCGUAACAGCUCACUGGUCUAAUUAAGCUGUCUUGCGGCGAAGAUGUACCGGGGCUAAAGACAAGUACCGAAGCUGUGGAUUUGAUCUUAUGAUCAAGUGGUAGCGGAGCGUUCUGUAAGUCUGUGAAGGGAGACCCGUGAGGGCUCCUGGAGAUAUCAGAAGUGCGAAUGUUGACAUGAGUAACGAUAAAGGGAGUGAGAGACUCCCUCGCCGAAAGUCCAAGGGUUCCUGCGCAAGGCUAAUCCGCGCAGGGUGAGCCGGCCCCUAAGGCGAGGCCGAAAGGCGUAGUCGAUGGGAACUAGGUUAAUAUUCCUAGGCCUGGUGGAUGUGACGAAUGGUGGUAGCAGUGAGGUCUUAUCGGAUUGAUCCUGCUGUGAAACUGUUCCAGGAAAUAACACCACCUUACAGACCGUACCCGAAACCAACACAGGUGGACUGGUAGAGUAUACCAAGGCGCUUGAGAGAACGACGUUGAAGGAACUCGGCAAA